ACUGUACACAUGUAUAUUUAGCUUCUGAUACAGACAAAUUUUUACCGGUUGAUUGCAAUCGAAUGUGUAAACAGUGCUGCGUCAAUUCUAGCGAUGUUAAUCGCAUGUAAAGUUUUCAUCAAUAUAAUGAGCACAUGUAAAUUAUUACAGCGUCGAUGCUACGAUCUGCUUUCAUACAAAUAUUCAUUGUUGGUGAUAUUAAUAGCGUUUACCUGUAUAUUUAUCGGCAUCAUUCAUUUCGGUGAGAUAUGGAUAGCUUGGAGUAAAGGAAAAUACGAAGCUAUAUUUCAUUCUUUUAAUGAUAAUAUAUUAGGUAUUUCUUUUCAACAAAAAUUAUGUCAACAUGUCCCUAUAGAUGUUGUAUAUACAUGGGUAAAUGGCUCAGAUCCUGUUUUUUUAAAGAAUCUGAAGAAACAUGUUCCUAUUAUGGAUGUUAAUACUGCAGCUUCUAGAUUUAAUGAUAAAGACGAAUUAAGAUAUUCCUUACGUUCCUUAGAAAUGUAUGCACCAUGGGUUAGACAUGUAUAUAUCGUUACCAAUGGUCAGAUACCUAGUUGGUUAGAUAUGGAUAACCCUAGACUUACUCUUAUUACUCACGAAGAUAUCUUUUUAAAUAAAAGUGAUCUUCCUACAUUUUCUAGUCCUGCUAUUGAAAGUCAUAUACAUAGAAUUCCUGGAAUCUCAGAUAAAUUUUUGUAUUUUAACGAUGAUGUAAUGUUAGGAGCUGAAGUGUGGCCAGAAGAUUUUGUUACUCAAGUAGGUGGCCAAAAAGUGUACCUUGCAUGGUGGGUUCCUGACUGCUCUGAUGUUUGUCCUUGGGCCUGGGUAGGCGAUGGAUCAUGUGAUCCAGCUUGUAACACAACAUUAUGUGAAUUUGAUGGAGGAGAUUGUGAUAGCACAACAGUUCCUACUGACAGUGAAGCACUUGAGGAAGAAGGAGAUUAUCCACAUAAGUUUUUACAAGAUGUUCAAGAAAAUGCUAACUAUGGGUUGAAACUUUUUAGCAUAUUAGGAAACAGAAGUAUAAAUUCUGUAUGGAAUAACACAGAAACAUUUACCCAACAAACAUUGGCAAGUGAAGCCAAGGAAUUAAAGUUCAAUGUAAAUAAAUCUUAUAGUUUCAAAAAUAAUAACCAUAUAAACGAUAUUGAAGUGAAUUUCAAUGAACAAUUCAAUGAAAAUAAUCAAACUACAUCCACUCAAAAAUCAAUACUGUCAAAAGUAAUGAAUAGAAUUAAAUUCCAAAGUUCUGGUAACAUUGAUAAACGUGUACACCUGAAACAUUAUUUAAACAAUAAUGAUAUGAGUUUAACACUAAUGAAUAGUACUGCAAAAACAAAUAAUAAACCUAAUUAUUCUGAUCAUUGGAAACAUAGAAGACAGCUAGAUACAUAUGCAGAAUCUUUACUUUAUGUAAAUAGAAUAUAUAACAUAGCAUAUGGUUUUGAACGUAGAAAAGUACCCGCUCACAUGCCUCAUUUAAUAGAUAAAUGGAUCGCCACUGAUAUGCAGACAAAGUUUGAGCAUGAAUUUAAGAAAACGUCUAGUCAUAAAGUUAGGAAUUCCGAAGAUAUGCAGUUUGCUUUUUCGUAUUUCUAUUUCCUGACGAGUGAGAAACGAAAGAUUCCAAUUGGAGAGAUUUUUGAUAGAUUUGACACAGAUAAAUCUGGAACUUGGUCGGAUAGAGAAAUCAGAACACUUUUAUCUAGACUGUAUCCACUACCUCUUGAUUAUAGCCUAGUCGUAGAAUUUGAAAAUAUAAUAACAAAUUGUUCAAAUCACAUAAAUGUCGCGGAAAUAUCAAAUCCACCGCCUGGAGAAAGAUAUUUAGAUUCAUCUCUCCCAAUUGUAUCAAAGGAGUUAAUAGCAAGUUGUGAACCAAUUUCGAGAAAAAUUCUGGCCAAGUUUGGCGAAGGGAAGCUUUAUCCGCAUGAAAUAAUUAAAGCUGGCAAAAAUGAAAUAUUUGAAAUGUUGACCAGCAAUGUAUCUCUGACUGUACAACUCUUGGAUGAAAUACGAAGGGAUCCAAAGAAAUUUAUAUGUUUGAACGAUGACAUGGACCCUCUUCGACGCUCCGAGAAUGAAAUUGUUCGUGCAUUGUUAAAUGAUUUUUAUCGCUCGCUUUACCCACUGCGUAGCACCUUCGAAUUACCUUUACAAUAUCGAAAUCUAUUUGCUCAUCGACACGAACUUUUUGAAUGGAGAGCUAAUAGAACGAAAGCUAGAAAUUUAUUGUUGUGUCUUAUCGUCUUGUUGCUUGUUACAACUCUUUAUCAUUUGUUUUAUCAUCAGAUACGACGGUUAUUCAGAGUGCGCACAUUGCCCACUUUACUCGUUUAAAUUCUAAGGACUAAAUAUGUAUAAAUACGCAAAAUGAACUGACAAAAAAUACACUUAGGUGCAACGUAGGCUUCUUUUGGAUAAGAACAAAUGUAAACAACGAGUGAUGGAAUUUUUUUUUUCUUAGUUUACAAUUUUCCACAGGAAGCCUACUAUACCUGGUGCUGUACAUCUGUAUCUUCCGUGACAGGGCAAUGUCUUCUAAAAGAUUUUAUAAAGAAUAACGUAUGCGUUGCAAUUUUGUUGUCAGACAACUUACAAUCCUUGAAGACUUAAGAUAUACCAAAUUUGUACUUAUUGAAAUGUUAAAUACGAAUCAAUGUGAAAUAUACCGAAUUUUUUUAAUUCAACUUU
RNAcentral lists this unclassified non-coding RNA (2694 nucleotides) under Megachile rotundata (alfalfa leafcutting bee). RNAcentral's name for it is "n-acetylglucosamine-1-phosphotransferase subunits alpha/beta, transcript variant X3". The record is from RNAcentral. Lineage: Eukaryota; Metazoa; Arthropoda; Insecta; Hymenoptera; Megachilidae.